RNAcentral lists this ribosomal RNA (243 nucleotides) under uncultured bacterium. RNAcentral's name for it is "partial 16S ribosomal RNA". It matches the Rfam family "Bacterial small subunit ribosomal RNA", at positions 57 to 305 of the family's 1533-position model. The record is from RNAcentral.
GCAAGUCGAGCGCGAAAGGCCUUCGGGCUGAGUAGAGCGGCGGACGGGUGAGUCACGCGUAGGAAUCUACCUGGUAGUGGGGGACAACUUGGGGAAUCCCAAGCUAAUACCGCAUACGCCCCAUGGGGGAAAGCGGGGGACCUUCGGGCCUCGCGCUAUCAGAUGAGCCUGCGUUGGAUUAGCUUGUUGGUGAGGUAAAGGCUCACCAAGGCGACGAUACAUAGCUGGUCUGAGAGGAUGAUC